RNAcentral lists this long non-coding RNA (1062 nucleotides) under Cervus hanglu yarkandensis (Yarkand deer). RNAcentral describes it as "lncRNA (ENSCHYG00000001649.1)". Lineage: Eukaryota; Metazoa; Chordata; Mammalia; Artiodactyla; Cervidae. The record is from RNAcentral.
AUGGACUGUAGCCCACCAGGCUCCUCUGUCCAUGGAAUUCUCCAGGCAAGAAUACUGGAGUGGAUUGCCAUUUCCUACUCCAGGGGAUCUUCCCAGCCCAGGGAUCCAACCCGAGCCUCUUGUGUCUCCUACAUUGGCAGAUGGACUCUGGGGGCGGACAAAUCCCCAGAGGUGGGAGCAUUGUUUUGCCCUCUAGUGGCUAGAAAGGUGGCUAGAAAUUCUGGUGGUGGCUACGUGUGCGUGGGGAGUGGGGGGGACAGCCUUGAUACAGCCCUUGGGGGAGGUAAUGUUAUUUGUGGGUGGGAAGAGCUUCAGCUGCUAGUCCAAGGUCUCAAAGUGGGUCAGUGUCUGAGCCCAAAUUUUCCCCCAGUUCCGCCUAACUCCGGGUUUUCUGCCCCUUUUACAUCUCUAGAGUUUGGACCUUGCCCCCCACUGGCUGACGGUGGGCAGCCCCUGGGGCUGCAGGUGGGAGAAGGAUCCAUACACCUCAGACCAGCUGUUUGCUUCUUCAUGGGGACAAGAAAUGGGCCCAAGGUCCCAGACAUUCACAGAUGGGUAUUUGUUCAUCCUCUUGGUCGAAAGGAGCCGAGACUCUCGAGGUGGAGGUUGUACACAAGGGCCCGUGUACCGGCGCAUCCUCAGGAGAGCAGAGUGUGGGUGGGUCUGCAUCUCCCAGGGGGCUUCAGUGGAGCCCCAGGCUGUCGGACACAGGAUUCAGCCACGCUCCACCACUCAGGUCUCCUCUGCCUUCUGCUUGGUGGGUCUUGCCCCGCAGCCCGCUUCUCCAGGCUCUGCCUUCUCGAUUCUCGAACUCUUGGCUCAUCGUCACCCUUCAUCACCCUAUUGUGCUUCCUGAGCUUCCACCCCUGGCCAGCGCAUUCUUGCAACAGUUUCAUAGACUGGUCCUUGUUUAGGCCUGGACACCUCCCAGGAUCCUUGGGCUCAAUGCCCACCAGAACCCCACCCAGGUCCACCUCAUCUCCCCCCACAUCCCUCCAUUCUGGGAUGAAGCUUUUGUGGUGGCACCCUUCCCCUCAUGGGGUGUGCCCCAGUGGCCCUUGA